UACGAAGGACCCGAGCGUUAUCCGGAUUUAUUGGGUUUAAAGGGUGCGUAGGCGGAUUAGUAAGUCAGUGGUGAAAGCCCAUCGCUUAACGGUGGAACUGCCAUUGAUACUGCUAGUCUUGAGUAUGGUUGAGGUGGGCGGAAUGUGUCAUGUAGCGGUGAAAUGCGCAGAUAUCAGGAGGAAUACCGGUGGCGAAGGCGGGUCUCUGGGCCGAAAUUGACGCUGAGGAGCGAAAGCGUGGGGAGCAAACAGG
Molecule: ribosomal RNA, 253 nt
Filed under: uncultured bacterium
Lineage: Bacteria
Description: partial 16S ribosomal RNA
Rfam family: Bacterial small subunit ribosomal RNA
Source: RNAcentral